CCUACGGUAGGCAGCAGUGAGGAAUAUUGGUCAAUGGGCGGAAGCCUGAACCAGCCAAGUAGCGUGCGGGAUGAAGGCCCUACGGGUCGUAAACCGCUUUUGCACGGGGAUAACACCCUCCACUUGUGGAGGUCUGCAGGUACCGUGCGAAUAAGGGCCGGCUAAUUCCGUGCCAGCAGCCGCGGUAAUCCGUAAGGCCCGAGCGUUAUCCGGAUUCAUUGGGCUAAAAGGGAGCGUAGGCGGGCGUUCAAGUCAGCUGUAAAAUCGCGGGGCUAAACCGCGCCCCGCAGUUGAAACUGGAGGCCUUGAGUACAGAACAGGUAGGCGGAAUUCGUGGUGUAGCGGUGAAAUGCAUAGAUAUUAGGAGGAACCCCGAUUGCGAAGGCAGCCUGCCGGGGUGUGACUGACGCUGAGGCUCGAAGGUGUGGGUAGCAAACAGGAUUAGAUACCCGUGUAGUC
This 459-nucleotide ribosomal RNA is filed under the name uncultured bacterium. RNAcentral's name for it is "partial 16S ribosomal RNA". It matches the Rfam family "Bacterial small subunit ribosomal RNA", at positions 338 to 795 of the family's 1533-position model. The record is from RNAcentral.